Molecule: ribosomal RNA, 465 nt
Filed under: Vreelandella stevensii
Lineage: Bacteria; Pseudomonadati; Pseudomonadota; Gammaproteobacteria; Oceanospirillales; Halomonadaceae
Description: partial 16S ribosomal RNA
Rfam family: Bacterial small subunit ribosomal RNA
Source: RNAcentral
CCUACGGGGGGCAGCAGUGGGGAAUAUUGGACAAUGGGGGCAACCCUGAUCCAGCCAUGCCGCGUGUGUGAAGAAGGCCCUCGGGUUGUAAAGCACUUUCAGUGAGGAAGAACGCCUGGUGGUUAAUACCCAUCAGGAAAGACAUCACUCACAGAAGAAGCACCGGCUAACUCCGUGCCAGCAGCCGCGGUAAUACGGAGGGUGCGAGCGUUAAUCGGAAUUACUGCGCGUAAAGCGCGCGUAGGUGGCUUGAUAAGCCGGUUGUGAAAGCCCCGGGCUCAACCUGGGAACGGCAUCCGGAACUGUCAAGCUAGAGUGCAGGAGAGGAAGGUAGAAUUCCCGGUGUAGCGGUGAAAUGCGUAGAGAUCGGGAGGAAUACCAGUGGCGAAGGCGGCCUUCUGGACUGACACUGACACUGAGGUGCGAAAGCGUGGGUAGCAAACAGGAUUAGAUACCCCUGUAGUC